This 291-nucleotide long non-coding RNA is filed under the name Manihot esculenta (cassava). RNAcentral describes it as "long non-coding RNA (MESC_LNC008264)". The record is from RNAcentral. Lineage: Eukaryota; Viridiplantae; Streptophyta; Magnoliopsida; Malpighiales; Euphorbiaceae.
UUAGCUGAGUCAAGUGAUUGGACGGUGGUGAUUGCAGGAGUAGGACUUGAUCGUGGGAAACAUGGGGGAGGCGUGUGGGUGCACACACGCAAAUGUAAUCACGAGACUCACGCUUUAUAAAGAUUCAAUGUACAGAAAGCAGAACAAUAACACCACACAGCACCCUCCCCUCCAACUCUUGUUUGGUCUGGCUCACAGCUGAAGGCCACAUUUGUUAUGUUCUCUUCUCUCCAUGGGUACUUCAGUAAUUUCAUCUGCUGAUUAUGGAUACAUUAAUCUCCUCUGUUUCUU